CAGCAGGAUUGAGACCGAGUGGAGCUGAUCCUGAGGAUUCCUUUGGACUGAUUUGAGCUUAGCACGAGGUGGGUCGGACCUAACCAGAGCAAGUGAAGCUCCCCUAUGUUCUAUAUGUAUCUAUAGAAUAGAAUAAUCGCUUAGACGCAUUGAGUGCAUAUGUGGUUGAUAGAGAAUUUGGAACAUAUCAGUGGGAUAUGUGAUGCUUAAGUAGAAUAAAUCUCUAUAAAGUAGUUAUCAAUGUUGCCCAUAACAAGACCAACGGCCUGGGUCUGAUCUAGAGGUUGUUCACACCUUAUACUUAAGUUUCGCCACCGUGUGAUGUAAUCUAACAUCGUUUCAUCUUUCCUUCGUCUGGUGGCUACCAGAUCAGCGAUAGUAAUCUUAUCGCUAACAGUGGCGAAUUUUGCUUUGAAAGCUUCUUCUAUGUCGGGCCAAGUUUUAAUGGACUCAUCCUCGAGGGAGUAGUACCAUUCAAAGGCUAUACCCGAUAAGCUUUGUGGAAAUUGUCGUAAGAGUAGAGGCCCGUUACUCCCAGUAUUUCCACACAUGGCCUUAAAAUGUGCUAGGUGCUGAUCAGGGUUACCAACACCAUAAAACAUUUUGAACUUAGGGACUUGAUACCCGUCUGGAAAAGGUAUAUUAUCAUAUUCUGAUAGAUAAGGAUGUCCUUUCCCUUUUGGUUUUGGGUUUGCCCCCGCUACCGUCUCUUUAACCUGAGAAGUUAUCAAAUCAUGAAUCUCUUCUUUAGUCAAAGAGGUAGUCUCUUUAGGAACAGUUGUUUUAGUCUGUUCAUUAAUGACUUGGGGUGCAGGUGCUUCUGUCCGAGCUGGAGUCUUGGUUUGAUGCCGUUGAUCCUCUAACUACUUCUGUACAUUCAUCAUCAAAUCCAUAACCUCCUCCAUUUUCUUAUAGAGACUUAUAAUAUCUCUAUCUUUUUCAUCAACUUUCUUUUUCAAGGAUGCGAUUAUAGCAUCCUUUGGAUCCCUCGGGAAGAAUACAACCUCUUCUUCCUCCCGUGGAUCAGAUAGAUCACCAGGUAAGUCAUCUUUAUUCCCGGUGUUUUGCGAAGAGCUUGUUUCUUUAGCUCUCGCCUUCUCUUCUGCUGCUUUUCUUGCAGCAGCUCUGGUAAGCAUUUGUUGAAUUGUUUCUUCUUCGUUAACAGCCUCACUUGAAGGCACACGCCCUAUAACUCUCACAGUAUGAAUCUCCAAAUUUUUUGUAAUACACUGAACUUUCGCAAAUUGCAGAGUUCGAGUGUGUGGAUUGAUGUGUGGAACUCUUCUACAUGUUCUAUUAGCCUUGGAUACGAUUUUGAACAAGAUAGAGAGUGAUUGGAGGGUUAAAAGCAUGAAAUUGCAUCAAUCAUGCGAAAUCAGCCUUUUUCUGCUUGUUGUACCGUACAGCCUCACCUUGUACCGGUACAGCCUGGCAGAAAUCUGGCAGCAAGGCUAGUUUGGUAAUUUCACCUCUGAUCCCUAUCUAUUAGACCCCAGCUCGACCAGAGAUGUUCAGAUAUGCAUGUUUGAGCUCAGAGAAGUGCUCUUCCUUCUCUCUUUUUCUCUCUCUCUAGGGUUUCUCUCUCUCUCUACGAGGAAAUCGCCGAUUUUGCUCGUUUUCGUCGCCGCGCUUGUUCUUCGCUGUUUGCGAGCGUCGCAGAGCCCUUGUGGACGUGUGAGGGAGUGUUUUGGACGGGUUUUCGCAGCCCUGGACCAGCAGGUCACUGGUUGGAAGCUUGAGAAGGUAAUCGCCUCACUUUCGCCGUUAUCGACGUCCUAUUCGUCGAUUUGAGUAAUGAUUUCGGGUUUUGCUUCUUGCUGUGCUAGGCUGAGAUUUCAGCCAUUAAAGAUGAGCUAAAUAGAUGUGAAUUAACCUCUUUAGACCAGGGAUAAGCUACUUUAAAGCUUAAUUGGAAUUAUUAGCCAUUUAUGAAGCUAAAUUGGCACGAAAUGCAAAUUGUUGCGCGAAUUGAUGCAAUUUAGAAUUAUUUCUUCGCAGCAGGUCUUCGAGACUCGUCGAGCUGAAUUUGUACUCUUAGAAGCUGGUUUGGAAGGUAUUCUGACCUGAGGUAAGCAGGAAUUUCAGUUAGAAAGCUGAAAUUGCAAGAUUCCGACUAUAGUUGCUAAUAUAUGACGAGUUUGACGUCGUUUCGAUUUUGUUCGCAGCGAGAGUGCGAUCGAGCCUUGGAUCACCGUUCGUUGACUUGUGAGAGCUCUUGGAGACUUAUUUUGAGGUAUUACACUAGUCCCAAAACAGGGAUUUAAGGGGUUACCUUGUACUAAGUGGAAUUUAGGCCGAAAUCGGAUAUUCCGGUCAUUACUUUAACGCGGGGUUGAUGUUUGUGUUCAGCAGGAUUGAGACCGAGUGGAGCUGAUCCUGAGGAUUCCUUUGGACUGAUUUGAGCUUAGCACGAGGUGGGUCGGACCUAACCAGAGCAAGUGAAGCUCCCCUAUGUUCUAUAUGUAUCUAUAGAAUAGAAUAAUCGCUUAGACGCAUUGAGUGCAUAUGUGGUUGAUAGAGAAUUUGGAACAUAUCAGUGGGAUGUGUGAUGCUUAAGUAGAAUAAAUCUCUAUAAAGUAGAGAACAUAUAUACAUGAAAGUAUUUCUAUUCAUAUUCAAUACAGUUGAAUGACUGAUGAACAAGUGUAGGAUGCACUUUAAAGUAGAGAACAAUGACAUUCUCUUGACUCUAACAUAGAGAACUAUGAUAUGCUCAUGACUAUGUUGAUAGUGCCAUACUUGUGGAAAGAUUAUAAUGCUAUGUGAUUUAGCUUUACCAUUACACGUUUACAAUCUAGUGGAUACUAGCUUCUGUUCCUAUUUGUGUAUUGACAUUCCGAUCGGAGGAUCGAGGGUAAGAACCUUGUAAAUGAAAAUAUGAAAGUUGAGACAUGUGGUCAUUGGACUUUGCUUGCUUGCCAUCGUGCUCAUUCGCACACGCUUGUGAGGGUAGCUCCCUACAAGCCGGCACUCCGGAGUUGGCCUACGCGACAGUUGCUCGCCCGUGCGGGAUUGGGUGCCGAAGUGGAUUGCCGUGGGGAGUGUAUACUACCACGGGGCCAUUAGGCGCGGCGCAAGCUGGACUACCUUGAGUAGGUCCUAGUGAAUGAAAAUGAAAGUGGAAAUGAUAAUGAUAUUAAAGAAUGAGUAUCAGUUGUAGUGUACAGUAGUACUUACACCUCUAUGAUCAUGUUUAUGUUCAUGUUUAUAGUAAUUGCGAUACUUCUAUUAUUCAGUUGAUUCAUUACUGCAGAGAUCAUGUUUACAUGUUGAAUACAUGCCUGUUACCGGUUAGCACUGCAUAUUUCUAUAUCAUGCAUUUAUCGCUUUUACUUACUUUUAGUACAUCUUGAGCCUAGUGGUGUAAUUCGCCGAGGCUGGCGGCUUACCCACUGGGAACUAUUGUUAAUAGUUCUCACGCCCUUUUGGUGGUUGUUUUUACAGAGCCAUCUACAGGAGAGGCUAGGGAUCGUGGCAAGGGAGUCGCGCCUAGCUAGGGACUACUAGGAGCGUGCUAGUCGAUCACCUUGCUACUCGGGCUACGGCCGAGGGUGAUGUCCAUAUAUAUA
Molecule: long non-coding RNA, 3569 nt
Filed under: Ananas comosus (pineapple)
Lineage: Eukaryota; Viridiplantae; Streptophyta; Magnoliopsida; Poales; Bromeliaceae
Description: long non-coding RNA (ACOM_LNC010105)
Source: RNAcentral